RNAcentral lists this ribosomal RNA (455 nucleotides) under uncultured bacterium. RNAcentral's name for it is "bacterial SSU rRNA". It matches the Rfam family "Bacterial small subunit ribosomal RNA", at positions 340 to 786 of the family's 1533-position model. The record is from RNAcentral.
UACGGAAGGCAGCAGUGGGGAAUAUUGCACAAUGGGCGCAAGCCUGAUGCAGCCAUGCCGCGUGUAUGAAGAAGGCCUUCGGGUUGUAAAGUACUUUCAGCGGGGAGGAAGGCGAUGCGGUUAAUAACCGCGUCGAUUGACGUUACCCGCAGAAGAAGCACCGGCUAACUCCGUGCCAGCAGCCGCGGUAAUACGGAGGGUGCAAGCGUUAAUCGGAAUUACUGGGCGUAAAGCGCACGCAGGCGGUCUGUUAAGUCAGAAUGUGAAAUCCCCGGGCUUAACCUGGGAACUGCAUUUUGAAACUGGCAGGCUUGAGUCUUGUAGAGGGGGUAGAAUUCCAGGUGUAGCGGUGAAAUGCGUAGAGAUCGUGGGGAAUACCGGUGGCGAAGGCGGCCCCUGGGACAAAGCUGACGCUCAGGUGCGAAAGCGUGGGGAGCAAACGAGGAUUAGAUACC